RNAcentral lists this ribosomal RNA (253 nucleotides) under uncultured bacterium. Its description in RNAcentral is "partial 16S ribosomal RNA". It matches the Rfam family "Bacterial small subunit ribosomal RNA", at positions 524 to 776 of the family's 1533-position model. The record is from RNAcentral.
GACAGAGGUGCCGAGCGUUAGGCGGAAUCACUGGGCUUAAAGCGUGUGUAGGCGGAUGCCUAAGUACCUUGUGAAAUCCCACGGCUCAACCGUGGAACUGCUUGGUAUACUGGGUGUCUUGAGCCACUUAGGGGCAACCGGAACAAAUGGUGGAGCGGUGAAAUGCGUAGAUAUCAUUUGGAACGCCAAUGGUGAAAACAGGUAGCUGGGAGUGUGCUGACACUGAGACACGAAAGCCAGGGGAGCGAACGGG